GACGAACGCUGGCGGCGUGCUUAACACAUGCAAGUCGAACGGUGAACUCCGCUUGCGGGGGGAUCAGUGGCGAACGGGUGCGUAACACGUGGGCAACCUUCCCUCAGCUCUGGGAUAACUCCAAGAAAUUGGGGCUAAUGCCGGAACUGACCGCUGACCGCAUGGUCUGGUUGUGAUAAGAUUUAUCGGCUGGGGAUGGGCCCGCGGAGUAUCCGCUUGUUGGUGGGGUAGUUGCCUACCAAGGCGACGACGGGUAGCCGGCCUGAGAGGGUGACCGGCCACACUGGGACUGAGACACGGCCCAGACUCCUACGGGAGGCAGCAGUGGGGAAUACUGCGCAAUGGGCGAAAGCCUGAUGCAGCGACGCCGCGUGUGGGAUGACUGCCUUCGGGUUGUAAACCUCUUUCAGCAGGGACGAAGCGAAAGUGACGGUACCUGCAGAAGAAGCACCGGCCAACUACGUG
RNAcentral lists this ribosomal RNA (465 nucleotides) under uncultured bacterium. RNAcentral describes it as "partial 16S ribosomal RNA". It matches the Rfam family "Bacterial small subunit ribosomal RNA", at positions 28 to 507 of the family's 1533-position model. The record is from RNAcentral.